UCCACCUUACACGGUGUGCGAUCCAUUAGGUUCCUUUUAGCGAGGCAGUGGGCGAUUAAAACCAUUUUAUAUCGAUUGUGAAUUGAAACUUACUUUCAAUUCUCCCUUUAGUGAUUACACACGUUUAGGGCUUCCACAAACCAUGAGUGACACCUUGCAGCAUAUCAUGGUUACCCAAGCUAAUUAGAAGAGGUAGAGAAAACCUAUUCAGU
This 212-nucleotide long non-coding RNA is filed under the name Malus domestica (apple). RNAcentral describes it as "long non-coding RNA (MDOM_LNC000314)". The record is from RNAcentral. Lineage: Eukaryota; Viridiplantae; Streptophyta; Magnoliopsida; Rosales; Rosaceae.